ACCAAGUAUAAGAGGUCCAGCCUGCCCAGUGACCACAAGUUCAACGGCCGCGGUAUUUUGACCGUGCAAAGGUAGCGCAAUCACUUGUCUUUUAAAUAAAGACCUGUAUGAAUGGCUAAACGAGGGCUUAACUGUCUCCCAUUUCAAGUCAGUGAAAUUGAUUUACCCGUGCAGAAGCGGGUAUCCACAUACAAGACGAGAAGACCCUUUGGAGCUUAAGGUAAAAACUCAACCACGUCAAGCAACUCAAUAAAAAGCAAUCUUUCUUUAAACCUUGUGGUGAAUGAGACCAUACCUUCGGUUGGGGCGACCACGGAGAAAAACAAAUCCUCCAAGUGGAGCGGGACAAAUCCCCUAAAACUAAGAAAAACACCUCUAAGCCACAGAACAUCUGACCAUAAAUGAUCCGGUCAACCAAGACCGAUCAACGAACCAAGUUACCCUAGGGAUAACAGCGCAAUCCUCUCCCAGAGUCCAUAUCGACGAGGGGGUUUACGACCUCGAUGUUGGAUCAGGACAUCCUAAUGGUGCAGCCGCUAUUAAGGGUUCGUUUGUUCAACGAUUAAAGUCCUACGUGA
RNAcentral lists this ribosomal RNA (578 nucleotides) under Osteobrama feae. RNAcentral describes it as "partial 16S ribosomal RNA". It matches the Rfam family "Bacterial large subunit ribosomal RNA", at positions 1838 to 2603 of the family's 2925-position model. The record is from RNAcentral. Lineage: Eukaryota; Metazoa; Chordata; Actinopteri; Cypriniformes; Cyprinidae.